UACAGAGGGGGCAAGCGUUGUUCGGAAUUACUGGGCGUAAAGGGCGCGUAGGCGGCCUUCUAAGUCGAACGUGAAAUCCCUGGGCUCAACCCAGGAACUGCGUCCGAUACUGGAUGGCUUGAGUCUUGGAGAGGUUGGUGGAAUUCUCGGUGUAGAGGUGAAAUUCGUAGAUAUCGAGAGGAACAUCGGUGGCGAAGGCGGCCAACUGGACAAAGACUGACGCUGAGACACGAAAGCGUGGGGAGCAAACAGG
Molecule: ribosomal RNA, 253 nt
Filed under: uncultured bacterium
Lineage: Bacteria
Description: partial 16S ribosomal RNA
Rfam family: Bacterial small subunit ribosomal RNA
Source: RNAcentral